Molecule: transfer RNA, 63 nt
Filed under: Ictidomys tridecemlineatus (thirteen-lined ground squirrel)
Lineage: Eukaryota; Metazoa; Chordata; Mammalia; Rodentia; Sciuridae
Description: Spermophilus tridecemlineatus (thirteen-lined ground squirrel) tRNA
Rfam family: tRNA
About the family: Transfer RNA (tRNA) molecules are approximately 80 nucleotides in length. Their secondary structure includes four short double-helical elements and three loops (D, anti-codon, and T loops).
Source: Rfam by way of RNAcentral
UUGUGGUUCAAUAGUAGAGCGCUCACCUAGCACGUGCGAGGCCCUGGGUUCAAUUCUCAGCAA